RNAcentral lists this ribosomal RNA (237 nucleotides) under uncultured bacterium. RNAcentral describes it as "partial 16S ribosomal RNA". It matches the Rfam family "Bacterial small subunit ribosomal RNA", at positions 333 to 562 of the family's 1533-position model. The record is from RNAcentral.
CUAUUCCUACGGGGGGCAGCAGUAGGGAAUCUUCCACAAUGGACGAAAGUCUGAUGGAGCAACGCCGCGUGAGUGAAGAAGGGUUUCGGCUCGUAAAGCUCUGUUGGUAGUGAAGAAAGAUAGAGGUAGUAACUGGCCUUUUUUUGACGGUAAUUCCUUAGAAAGUCACGGCUAACUUCGUUCCAGCAUCCGCGGUAAUACGUAGGUGGCACGCGUUUUCCGGAUUUAUUGGGCGUA